This is a long non-coding RNA of Lemur catta (Ring-tailed lemur), 710 nucleotides long. RefSeq lists it as uncharacterized. The record is from RefSeq and is a predicted model, not a curated record. The transcript is spliced from 3 exons. NCBI's taxonomy places the organism in Eukaryota, Metazoa, Chordata, Mammalia, Primates, Lemuridae.
UGCUGGCCACCGCCACCCACGUGGUCAAAGCCGGGCCCUGCAGGCUGCAGAGCAUCUGAUUGCGCGUUUCGGCUGGCGGGGUUCCUAGUUGUCGCCGAGAGGGACUUACUGCAAGCUAGCAGAUCUGGGGUCUUAUUUUGUUGAGUCGAAAGUGAAAUUUUCCAUCGGCCGACGUGACAGGGCUUUGUUUGGUGGUAAAAAAAAGGGUGCUAGAGACCCCUUAUCCCACGGCCACUGGGGGGCGCAUUUCUCAGCUCUUGCUCUUCAAACCUGCUAGAAGGAAUUCCUAUAUCUAAACACCAGGUCCUCAGAUUCAGCAUUUAAAAUUGAACUCAUCAUCUUCCCCUGCCUCCCUUAAAGGAAUAAAGUCAAUAUACUUCUGCUGUGUGUCCUGCUAUGCUCAAUAGUACCACUAUCCAAAUAAUUGCUUAAGCUGGGAGGAGGAAGCUGGGAAGAAUCCUAGACUCUGGCUUCCGCUCUCACAUGUCCAAUCAAUGGUCAAGCCCUAUCAUUUCUAUUCGCAGAACAUUUCUCAAAUAGGUCCUCUGGUCUCUAUCCUCUCUGCCUGUGACAUGGUUUGUGUUCUUCUCAUCAUUUCUCACUGAGGUUACAGCAAUAGCCUGCUAACUAGUUUGUCUGCAUUCAGCCCUGGCUUCCCUCCAGUCCAUUCUCCAGUCCACCCUUGGAUGAGCUUAACAACAACAAAACAU